RNAcentral lists this long non-coding RNA (5531 nucleotides) under Marmota monax (woodchuck). The record is from RNAcentral. Lineage: Eukaryota; Metazoa; Chordata; Mammalia; Rodentia; Sciuridae.
GUACGGUGGUGUGUCCUGACUGAGGAGGAUGAGGGAGCCCUUCUAAGUGGCAAUUUCUCUGGAUCUUGAACAGUGAAUAGCUUUGGGGCGGUGGGGGAGGGGCGGGCGGGAUGUAGCUCCAUGGAAGAGCACCUGCCUGAGGUGGGGUGGGGGCAAAAUGGCCUAAGCAGUAAGAAAUGGAUGCAGGGAAGUGGAGGCUGUGUUGGGGGAUGCAGGAGGUCAGCAAGGAAGAGGCUGGAAAAAUGUGUCCUAUUGUCUCAGAUGAGGAACACCUAUAAAAACUUAAAUAUAGUAUGUAAUAUGUAAUUAUAUAAUGUGUAAUAUUAUAAAAUUAUAAUAUAAUAUUAACUAAUAUCUUAAUAUAUAUAAGCUUCAGAUUAUGGUUUCCUAUCUCUUUUAAUGCAUUUAUGUCAAUGUUGUUGAAAUAUUUGCAGAAUUGAAAACUUUGGACUUAAUGGGUUAAGUUAUUGGAAACUUGUAAGGACUAAAAUGUUAAUGAUUAAUAAUCUGUUAAUAUGUAACCUGCUGGGAGUGCCAACACUUUUUAAAAGGACUUUGGAGCCUGGAAGACUUUGGCUCAAAGGUAGUUGGCUUUAUUUUUUUAAUCAUGGAAAAUUUCAAUAAUAUAAUAUACCCUAUGUAUUCAUCUUUUGGCUUCAGUAAUUAAUCACUCAGAGCCAAUUGGGCCUCAUCCACAUUGCCAUUCGCUUCUCCCUUUCUAUAUUGUUUUAAAAUAAAUCUCAGAAACAAUGUUAUCUGAAAGAUUAAUACUCUAAAAAAACCCAUAAUAUCAUCAAUGUCAUCAAUUUUUUUUUGCAGUUUGUUUCAAUCAAGAUCAAAAUGAAAUCCAUACAUGCCAAUGGUUGAUCUGCCUUUUAAGUUUUUGUCUUUUUUUCUUUCAAUGUAUUUGUUAAAACAAAAACACACCCAAGUUGUUUGUCCUUUAGAAUUCCCCAGAGGUAGGACUUUGGUGAUGGCAUCAUUGUCUUGUGGCUUAAUGCUUCCCCAUCUCUGUAGUUGCUGUAGUUUGCUUUGUGGAUAUUGAUCAAAUUCAGGUUCGAUCUUUUGGACCAUUUUGUUGAUGGCAUUAUGUUCCCCAUCAGGAAGUACGUCAUGAAAACCUAGUUGUCUCUUUUUGCAAUGUUUCUACUCAUUGAUAAUAUCAAGAUAGAAAUGGAUUUUAAUAGAGGAAUUUCGGUAUACAAGAAGUUCAAUAGGCACAGCUAUUUUGGAAGACAGAGAAACAGAUGUUUUGGUACUUCUUAUAUGAAAUCUUAAUCAUACAAAGAAGGCAAGUUUUAAUAUUUUUUUUCAUAUAGCAUUGGCUGCAUUAUUCAGUGGACAUUGGCUGAGUGCCUACUAUAUACAGAGAACUGAAGUAGGUGGGUCCUAUGGAGAUCAUGGGAUUGAAUUGGAUAUAGAACCUGUGAUCAGGAGUAUCUAGGAUCCAGCAGAAGAGACAAGAACUCUGAUUCAAGAUAAAAGAGAUCAUCACCAUAAGAAUGGUAGAGGUAAACAUCUGACUUUCUGAGGGGGCCGGUCAAUUCUAACUGGGGGGAAAAAGAGGUCUUUGUGGAGUCCCAUGAAUACUCCCAUCGAGCUGAUCUGGGUGUGAUCUGGAAAGAAAAUGACAAAAAGAAGGGCAUAGAGGCAGGAGAUCCUAGGACAUGUCUGAGAAAACGUGAAUAGUUCCGUUCGGCUCAAAGGAGGGUAAGAAUCACGGGAAAUAGAGUUGGAAAAUUGGGUUUGGAGUGAAAUAUCCACCUACCAUACUGCCCAACCAUUCCUCUCCUAGGCUUUUACUCAAGAGAAAUGAAAUCCAUGUCACUCGAAGGUUUAUGCACAAUGUUCACAGUAAGCAGAAAUGAGAAUAGCAGCAGGUUCAUCUGGGAGCACCACACUGCUGUCUAGAGGGAAGAGGUCCUGAGGUACCCAGCAACGUGGAUCCUCACCUGUCAUUAAUGUGAUUGUGAAUGGAAAAAUAUGUGUGAGGGGGAGACUGGCUGUUUUGGGGGGUUUCGUUAUUUUCUGUACAGAAAGGUUGAAAAAUACAAAAUUUGGAAUUGUUAAGUCUGACUGCAGUCUUGACUUGUCAAAAUAAAGACACAUUAAAAAAAUAAAGAAUGAGAGGAAAAUGCAGAACUAAUCUAUAGUGACCAGAGCAGUGGCUGCUUAGAACUGGGGACUUAGGGAAUCCUGGGGGCGAGGUGGAUGGGGAAAGUGAUGGAAAGGCUUUGUUGCUGUACCUUGAUGGUGUAAAAACAUUUCAUGUGCAAAAACAAUCCAUUGAAACUCAUUGGCUAUACACUUUAAAUGGAUGCCACUUAUUGUACAUAAGUUAUCCAUUGAUAAAGCUGAUUUUUAAAGGCACAUUUGGGACACAUUGUAGAGGUUUUUGAAAGGCAGGCCAAAGUUCUGCAGGCUUUUGAAAAGGAGGGCGAAAUGAUUGUGUGGCCAGAUUCCAAAUUCUAAACUAAGCUCAGGCCAAACAGUUACACAACAUGUAUAGUCCAAAGUCCAGGAAAGAAAGCAUUUAGUGAUUUUAAGGAAAUUUGACAGAAUAAUUUUUGUUUAUUGAAUCUAAAAAUGAAAUCUAAUACUCUAAUAAUAUAAGUUGGAAACUGUAUUUUAUAUGUUUUUAUUUCCAGCCAACAUUUCUAGUAAUUCAUGUUUAUUGCAUUUACAAAACAGUUUUUAUAGACCAGAUUGGACAUUUAAAGAAAACCAACCCUUCACCACACCGUUUAGAAAGCACCAGCUUCAGAAGAGUGCAAGGCAGCCAGGCACAGUGGUGUAUACCUGUAAUCCCAGGGACUUAGGGAGGUUGAGGCAGAAGGAUUGCAAGUUUGAGGCUAACCUCAGCAAUUUUGUAAGCCCUAAGCAAUUUAGCAGGACCUGCUCAAAACAAACAAAAAAUACUAAAAAGGUCAGAAUGUUGCUCUGGGUUAAAGGAGCCUUGGAUUUCAACCCCAGUACCAAAAAAGAAAAAAAAAAAAAAAGAGAGAGAGAGAGAGAGAGAGAGAAGAAGAGGAAGAAGAAUGCAAAACAAGGUUUUACCUUUCUAGUUUAUGUAGGAUUAUUGAGAAAGAAACAGUGUGUUAAUUAAAAACUGGCUGUAGCUAGGCCCGGUGGCACUUACCUGUAAUCCCAGAGACUCAGGAGGCUGAGGUAGGAGGAUCUCAAGUUCAAUGCCGGCUUCAGCAAUUUAGGAAAGCCCUAAGCAACUUAGUGAAACCCUGUCUUAAAAUAAAAAAUUGAAAAAUGGCUAGGGAUGUGGCCCAGUGAUUAAGCAAUCCUGGGUCCAACUCCUGGUACCAAAUUUUUUUUUUGAAUAAAAAUAAAAGGUUGGCUAUAAAGAGACUUGAGGUUUGUGCAGAGUGGAAAUGUAGAAGGAGUGUCAGCAGCUGGGGCAAGUGGCUUUCAAGUGGCAAAGUAAUACAGCCCUCCUGGGUUCAAAGUCCUGCAGUGCUCCCAGAAAGUCGUUCUAUAUUCAGAUUAAAGUCUAGGCUGCUAUUAAAUAAAAAGGAACAAAACAACGGAGGGGAAAAUAGAAGCUUUCUUCUUCUUUUUCUAACCUCCUGCUAUAAGCUGGAGGGAGAACUACUUUCAGAUGUUUUAAGAAGUUAUGUAUCCUUAAGGAAAAUGUUAUGAAGAAAUAUAAGGAAGAAGAGGAAAGUCUAAUGUCAUAAGACACUGCGGAAAAAUGUCACUGUGUAAGAGCUCCAUACGUGGUGGGUGACAGGACUUGGGCUUUGUGCCUAACAGCACACCACGUGGUUAUAUAACAUACCAACACACACUCUCCUUUGGAGCCUGGCUGCCUUGCACAAUGACCCACAGCCUGCAGGGACCACACCCCCGAGGAGAAGACGAAAAUAGGUCUAUUCUUCAAGCAGAAAGGUGAUCAGGGAGAAAACGGCCCUUUAAACAUAGGGAGCAAUUUCUCUUCUAAGACAAGUAACCUCUGACUGGAGUCUCCCUGUUUGCCCAGGUCCAGGCCUGUGCAGGCAGUCAAGAAAGCACUUUGGAGAUUUUAACCAUGUUAAAUGAAAUAAAUUAUGUAAAAAUGUGUGUCAUAUAUAAAACAUAGUACAAAUGCAGGAAGCUAUGCAGAGUUUCCGACACCCCCCAGAAGCGUCUUUUUCACAACACACAACCACAUGCUAAUAAGUGUUUGCUGGUGACAUAAAUUGUGGCAAUCACUGCAGUUCUAAAGAUCAGAACCAUUCCUUCUCCUCUGAGAGAGUCGCCCAUUACCAAAAUAAGGCUGUGCACCAAACCACCCCCAAACUUAGUGGCUUAAAACAACGUCACUUGUUUAAGAUUUUUGUGGAUCAGCAACUUAGGCUGAGCUUAGCUGGGCAGUUCGGGUCUCAGGUGGUUUGGGGAAGACCUACACAAUCCUCAGCUAUCAGCCACCAGGUCCACUGGCCACUAUCACCCACCGGGUCCACUGGCCACUCAGGGGUGGUUUCCUCAGCUGGCACCAUCCGUCUUCUUCUGCUUGGUCUCUCCUCCCCAGCAGGCAGCCCAGGAGUGUUCUUGUGGGGAGACAGUGUUUGGAGAGAGAGAUUAGAUGGACUCACAAGGUCUCUGGAGGCCUCGUCUUGGAACCGUCACAUCAUCAACACUUCUGUUACAGUCGCACUGUCAAAACAAGUCACAAGGUUGGUGAGAAAUAGAUUUCAUGCCUUGGAGAAAAAAGUUACAAAGUCUCAUUGCAAAGGGCAGGAUCCAGAGAGGCCAUUGAUGCUACCGGUAUCACCUAUCCCAACUGAAACAUUUCAACCUGGCCUUUGUUGAAGUUGGGUGAGCCAUCUUUUUCUAAGAAGGAAUAUAAACAAGCUGCCUCUGAUCAAUAUAAUGAGGGAGGUGAGGUUGGUCCAAUUAUGUUUGGCUUCAGUUGGAACUAAAUCUCAGUGGGAGGUUAGGCAGAAUCCAAGACACACCAGGGUGGGGUGACAGUGAGAAAAUAGAAUGAGGGCCCAAGCAAGCAGAGAAGGAAACGAUAUACUGCAAACAUCUGAAGUCUCCAGAGAAACCAUCAAGUCACAAGAUUCAAAGACUUUACCUACCUGCCACUCAACAGAUGAAUGGAUAAAGAAAAUGUUGUACACAUACACAAUGGAAUAUUACUCAACUGUAAAGAAGAAUGAAUUUAUGGCAUUUUCUAGUAAAUGGAUGGAACUGGAGACUAUCAUGCUAAGUGAAAUAAGCCAAUCCCCAAAAAAACCAAAGGUAGAACAUUCUCUCUGAUAUGCAGAUGCUAACAUAAAAUGCAGGGGUGCAGGAUUUCAUUGGAUUAGACAAAAGGGAAUGAAGGGAAGGAAAGAAGGAUUGGAAUAGGAAACACAGUAGAAUGAACUGGAUAUAACUUUCCUAUGUUCAUAAAUGAAUGCACCACCAAUGAAAUUACACAUCAUGUACAAUCACAAUAAGGAGUUCCUGAUUAGAAUAAGUUAUACUCCAUGUAUGUAUAAUAUGUCAAAACACACUCUACUGUCAUGUAUAUCUAAAAAGAACAAAUAAAG